ACGGAGGCAGCAGUGGGGAAUAUUGCACAAUGGGCGAAAUCCUGAUGCAGCGACGCCGCGUGAACGAAGAAGUAUUUCGGUAUGUAAAGUUCUAUCAGCAGGGAAGAAGAAUGACGGUACCUGACUAAGAAGCACCGGCUAAAUACGUGCCAGCAGCCGCGGUAAUACGUAUGGUGCAAGCGUUAUCCGGAUUUACUGGGUGUAAAGGGAGCGCAGGCGGUAUGGCAAGUCUGAUGUGAAAGCCCGGGGCUCAACCCCGGUACUGCAUUGGAAACUACCAGACUAGAGUGUCGGAGAGGUAAGUGGAAUUCCUAGUGUAGCGGUGAAAUGCGUAGAUAUUAGGAGGAACACCAGUGGCGAAGGCGGCUUACUGGACGAUAACUGACGCUGAGGCUCGAAAGCGUGGGGAGCAAACAGGAUUAGAUACCCUGGUA
Molecule: ribosomal RNA, 434 nt
Filed under: uncultured Roseburia sp.
Lineage: Bacteria; Bacillati; Bacillota; Clostridia; Lachnospirales; Lachnospiraceae
Description: partial 16S ribosomal RNA
Rfam family: Bacterial small subunit ribosomal RNA
Source: RNAcentral